This 177-nucleotide unclassified non-coding RNA is filed under the name Podosphaera xanthii. RNAcentral's name for it is "sequence contains ITS1". Lineage: Eukaryota; Fungi; Ascomycota; Leotiomycetes; Helotiales; Erysiphaceae. The record is from RNAcentral.
CUGAGCGCGAGGCCCCGCAGCGCGCACGCGCUGCGGCGGUUGACCCUCCACCCGUGUGAACUCUUAUCUGUUGCUUUGGCGGGCCGGGCUCGACCUGCCGGCUCCGGCUGGCGAGUGCCCGUCAGAGAAGCCCCAACUCGUGCUGUGAGUGUUGUCUGAGGAAAUGUGGAAUUAGUA